CAAAUAUUCAAAUGAGAACUUUGAAGACUGAAGUGGAGAAAGGUUCCGUUGGAACAUUGGUUGGCAACGGGUUAGUCGAUCCUAACUGGUACCUUAGCGGGAGUAAUAGCUCAGUUUAUUGAGCGUCCAGGAAAGGGAAUCCGGUUAAUAUUCCGGAACUUGGGUAUGGACUCACGGCAACGUAACUGAAUGUGGAGACGCUGGCACGGUCCCCGGGAGGAGUUAUCUUUUCUUUUUAACAGC
Molecule: ribosomal RNA, 243 nt
Filed under: Ditylum brightwellii
Lineage: Eukaryota; Bacillariophyta; Thalassiosirophyceae; Lithodesmiales; Lithodesmiaceae
Description: partial Eukaryotic large subunit ribosomal RNA
Rfam family: Eukaryotic large subunit ribosomal RNA
Source: RNAcentral